CACGUAGGGCGCAAGCGUUGUCCGGAAUUACUGGGCGUAAAGGGCUCGUAGGUGGCCAACUAAGUCAGACGUGAAAUCCCUCAGCUUAACUGGGGAACUGCGUCUGAUACUGGAUGGCUUGAGUUUGGGAGAGGGAUGCGGAAUUCCAGGUGUAGCGGUGAAAUGCGUAGAUAUCUGGAGGAACACCGGUGGCGAAGGCGGCAUCCUGGACCAACACUGACACUGAGGAGCGAAAGCCAGGGGAGCAAACGGG
RNAcentral lists this ribosomal RNA (253 nucleotides) under uncultured bacterium. RNAcentral describes it as "partial 16S ribosomal RNA". It matches the Rfam family "Bacterial small subunit ribosomal RNA", at positions 524 to 776 of the family's 1533-position model. The record is from RNAcentral.